RNAcentral lists this ribosomal RNA (253 nucleotides) under uncultured bacterium. RNAcentral describes it as "partial 16S ribosomal RNA". It matches the Rfam family "Bacterial small subunit ribosomal RNA", at positions 524 to 776 of the family's 1533-position model. The record is from RNAcentral.
UACGUAGGGGGCAAGCGUUGUCCGGAUUUAUUGGGCGUAAAGAGCGUGUAGGCGGUUUGGUAGGUCCGUUGUGAAAACUCGAGGCUCAACCUCGAGACGCCGAUGGAAACCAUCAGACUAGAGUCCGGAAGAGGAGAGUGGAAUUCCUGGUGUAGCGGUGAAAUGCGCAGAUAUCAGGAAGAACACCCGUGGCUAAGGCAGCCUCCUGGGCCAGCACUGACGCUCAUGCACGAAAGCGUGGGGAGCAAACAGG